GACGAACGCUGGCGGCGUGCUUAACACAUGCAAGUCGAACGGAAAGGCCCUGCUUUUGUGGGGUGCUCGAGUGGCGAACGGGUGAGUAACACGUGAGUAACCUGUCCUUGACUUUGGGAUAACUUCAGGAAACUGGGGCUAAUACCGGAUAGGAGCUCCUGCUGCAUGGUGGGGGUUGGAAAGUUUCGGCGGUUGGGGAUGGACUCGCGGCUUAUCAGCUUGUUGGUGGGGUAGUGGCUUACCAAGGCUUUGACGGGUAGCCGGCCUGAGAGGGUGACCGGCCACAUUGGGACUGAGAUACGGCCCAGACUCCUACGGGAGGCAGCAGUGGGGAAUAUUGCACAAUGGGAGGAAGCCUGAUGCAGCAACGCCGCGUGCGGGAUGACGGCCUUCGGGUUGUAAACCGCUUUCGCCUGUGACGAAGCGUGAGUGACGGUAAUGGGUAAAGAAGCACCGGCUAACUACGUG
Molecule: ribosomal RNA, 468 nt
Filed under: uncultured bacterium
Lineage: Bacteria
Description: partial 16S ribosomal RNA
Rfam family: Bacterial small subunit ribosomal RNA
Source: RNAcentral